This 482-nucleotide ribosomal RNA is filed under the name uncultured cyanobacterium. RNAcentral's name for it is "bacterial SSU rRNA". It matches the Rfam family "Bacterial small subunit ribosomal RNA", at positions 523 to 1015 of the family's 1533-position model. Lineage: Bacteria; Bacillati; Cyanobacteriota. The record is from RNAcentral.
AUACGGGAGUGGCAAGCGUUAUCCGGAAUUAUUGGGCGUAAAGCGUCCGCAGGCGGCCCUUCAAGUCUGCUGUUAAAAAGUGGAGCUUAACUCCAUCAUGGCAGUGGAAACUGUCAGGCUUGAGUGUGGUAGGGGCAGAGGGAAUUCCCGGUGUAGCGGUGAAAUGCGUAGAUAUCGGGAAGAACACCAGUGGCGAAGGCGAUUUUCUGGACUGAUAUUGACGCUGAGAUGCGAAGGCAUGGGUAGCAAAACGGGAUUAGAUACCCCGGUAGUCCAUGCAGUAAACGAUGGGUGCUAGUCGUCGGACUUUUGUUCGGUGUCGUAGCUAACGCGUUAAGCACCCCGCCUGGGGAGUACGGUCGCAAGAUUAAAACUCAAAUAAAUUGACGGGACCCGCACAAGCAGUGGAGCAUGUGGUUUAAUUCGACGCAACGCGAAGAACCUUACCAGCGUUUGACAUUGCUAAGUCGCGAGUUUUAGAG